AGGGCUUUAGGGUUUAGGCGGAAAAGGGAACAGGGUAAUCGGGGAUGUGCGGAGCUAGGGAACGAGGCGGAGGGGCUGCCUACAGGGCGAGCUGCCCCGACAGAUUGCUCGCUGACUGGAUAUACCGGGACCCAUCAGCGAUCACGACACCUUCGAUCUACGGUGGCGGUGAGGCAUCUCAGAGUGUUCGCCCGUCCAUGUCUCCAUUGGAAGUCCUCUUGGUCGUUGAUAUAUUCAGAACGAGAAUGAUGGUAUGAUUUACAUCGUACGGCUUCUUGCGACGUUCAUUCAGCAGAGAAAGUAAGUUGUCAUACUGACGAACUUAGUCCCCUUGGAAAAUUCCAGUAAAAUUUCCAUACAAUGUGAUCUGUGAAAGGGUACUUGUCAUACUGGAUUCAGUCCCGUUAGGAAAUCGCCAAACUGAUAUUACAAAUUAUUACUCUGAAAUUAUAAAUUACAUGCAAUGUGGGCUUUUGCAAGUGGCAAAUGGCAAGGGAUUUCGUCUUCAAUAGGACGACAGCACUGCGGCCCCGUCGAUGAGAACACAGCAGUUCGAGGUUUUGCCACCUUGUUUGCAGGGAGAUACGAAGCAUCACGUGAUUGGGACGCUGGCUGUGCUUCCUGCUGUGCAUCUGCCGCUGAUCUUCGCGGUUUUGUGAGUGGCGGAUGUUUUGGAGCUCCGAGAGCGUUGAUCUGCAUUCUUGUGAGGCUCAUUCGGAGUAGUGCGCAGACACAGCCGGUAUCUUUCGUCGACACAUAAGCGUAGGUAUUCCGUCUGGCGUCUUGAAAAAUGUUAUCGCCCGGUAUGUGACAGUUUGAUUCCGGGGAGAGGGUUGAGCUUUGAGAAAAGCGACUAGGAGGAGAGUUUAGAAGCGGAUGUGUUCUUUUCAUCGCCUGCUCACCUUCUGUAAUUCCUUAGCUGCUUUGCAGCAAGAGGAGCAGGGAGAGACUCGUCGGAGUGACAAGAGUCUGACCUUGUCUUCACAUCACGAAUUUGUCACAAGAGAGUGAAUGCCAAAAGAUUCAGCGUGCGAUUCGUUAGCCAUCGCUCUGUGCGCUGCGGGAGGUGGCAGGAAACUGAUAGGUCCUGGUUGAAGAGUCUGUUGAUCGUCUUUAUGGUCGAGGGAAAAUCAGAGCCUGUGUUUUUAAUCAUCACAGGGUCAGAUUCGGGCACUGGAUCAUUGAACUUUCUUGCACGACCUAGGAAGAGGGGAAUUGUAUAGACUGAUCAUAGCGUACUGCUGAAGUUAAAAUCCCUUGCCUGGGAGCGAUUGAGGUAGCAAUUCAGUAGCAAUGUCAUCUCCUUUUUGACAAAGAUCAAGUGUUCCAAGGCCACCACCAAUACGUCCUCAUGUGUUAGUGGCUAUCUCAAAACAGAAGAGAGUAAUCUUCCCCAAAAUCCAUUAGGUCACUUGUGAUACAUGUGUUACAAAAACCUUAAUAAAAAAAAGAGGAUAAAUUUGUAUCUUGCUGCAAUUGUAAUCACCAAUUGCCUUUGCAAUAAAGAGUGGUGUGUACAAUUUUGUA
Molecule: non-coding RNA, 1527 nt
Organism: Physcomitrium patens
Lineage: Eukaryota; Viridiplantae; Streptophyta; Bryopsida; Funariales; Funariaceae
Source: RefSeq, a predicted model, not a curated record